AAUAUUGGACAAUGGAGGAAACUCUGAUGCAGCGUCGCCGCUUGAACGAAGAAGGCCUCCGGGUCGUAAAGUCCUUUCCUUGGGGACGAUAAUGCCGGUACCCAAGGAGGAAGCCCCGGCUAACUACGUGCCAGCAGCCGCGGUAAUACGUAGGGGGCGAGCGUUGUCCGGAAUUAUUGGGCGUAAAGGGUUCGCAGGCGGUCCUUUAAGUCAGAUGUGAAAGCCCACGGCUCAACCGUGGUAAGCAUUUGAAACUGAAGGACUUGAGUUAAGGAGAGGAAAGUGGAAUUCCUAGUGUAGCGGUGAAAUGCGUAGAUAUUAGGAGGAAUACCAGUGGCGAAGGCGACUUUCUGGACUUAUACUGACGCUGAGGAACGAAAGCGUGGGGAGCAAACA
RNAcentral lists this ribosomal RNA (396 nucleotides) under uncultured bacterium. RNAcentral describes it as "partial 16S ribosomal RNA". It matches the Rfam family "Bacterial small subunit ribosomal RNA", at positions 360 to 774 of the family's 1533-position model. The record is from RNAcentral.